UGGGGAAUAUUGGACAAUGGGGGAAACCCUGAUCCAGCGACGCCGCGUGGGUGAAGAAGGCCUGCGGGUUGUAAAGCCCUUUCGGUGGGGAAGAAAAGCCUCGACCUAACACGUCGGGGUAUUGACGUAACCCACAAAAGAAGCACCGGCUAACUCUGUGCCAGCAGCCGCGGAAAUACAGCGGGUGCGAGCGUGAAUCGGAAUUACUGGGCGUAAAGCGCGCGUAGGCGGUUAUACAAGUCGAGUGUGAAAUCCCCGGGCUCAACCUGGGAACUGCAUUCGAGACUGUAUGGCUUGAGUAUGGGAGAGGGAGGCGGAAUUUCAGGUGUAGCGGUGAAAUGCGUAGAUAUCUGAAGGAACAUCAGUGGCGAAAGCGGCCUCCUGGACCAAUACUGACGCUCAUGUGCGAAAGCGUGGGGAGCAAA
RNAcentral lists this ribosomal RNA (425 nucleotides) under uncultured bacterium. RNAcentral describes it as "bacterial SSU rRNA". It matches the Rfam family "Bacterial small subunit ribosomal RNA", at positions 355 to 772 of the family's 1533-position model. The record is from RNAcentral.